UACGUAGGUGGCAAGCGUUGUCCGGAUUUACUGGGCGUAAAGAGCGCGCAGGCGGUCGUUCAAGUCGAGUGUGAAAGCCCCCGGCUCAACUGGGGAGGGUCACUCGAUACUGAUCGACUCGAAGGCAGAAGAGGGAAGCGGAAUUCCCGGUGUAGUGGUGAAAUGCGUAGAUAUCGGGAGGAACACCAGUGGCGAAGGCGGCUUUCUGGUCUGCUCUUGACGCUGAGGCGCGAAAGCUAGGGGAGCAAACAGG
Molecule: ribosomal RNA, 253 nt
Filed under: uncultured bacterium
Lineage: Bacteria
Description: partial 16S ribosomal RNA
Rfam family: Bacterial small subunit ribosomal RNA
Source: RNAcentral